Molecule: ribosomal RNA, 253 nt
Filed under: uncultured bacterium
Lineage: Bacteria
Description: partial 16S ribosomal RNA
Rfam family: Bacterial small subunit ribosomal RNA
Source: RNAcentral
UACAGAGGUCUCAAUCGUUGUUCGGAUUCAUUGGGCGUAAAGGGUGCGUAGGCGGCGCGGUAAGUCGGGUGUGAAAUCUUGGAGCUUAACUCCGAAACUGCAUUCGAUACUGCCGUGCUUGAGGACUGGAGAGGAGACUGGAAUUUACGGUGUAGCAGUGAAAUGCGUAGAUAUCGUAAGGAAGACCAGUGGCGAAGGCGGGUCUCUGGACAGUUCCUGACGCUGAAGCACGAAGGCCAGGGGAGCAAACGGG